This 1104-nucleotide long non-coding RNA is filed under the name Canis lupus dingo (dingo). Its description in RNAcentral is "lncRNA (ENSCAFG00020019771.1)". Lineage: Eukaryota; Metazoa; Chordata; Mammalia; Carnivora; Canidae. The record is from RNAcentral.
AUGCUCCGGCCGGGGUGCCGGGAGGGGCCUGGGGCUUGGGCUGGGGCCUGCUGCGGCCUGCUGCGUCCUGCUGCGGCCUCCUGCGUCCUGCUGCAGCCUCCUGCAUCCUCCUGCGUCCUGCUAUGGCCUCCUGCGUCCUGCUGUGGCCUCCUGCGGCCUCCUGCAUCCUGCUGUGGCCUCCUGCGUCCUGCUGUGGCCUCCUGCGGGCUCCUGUGUCCUGCUUCGUCCUGCUGCGUCCUGCUGCGGCCUCCUGCGUCCUGCUGGGGCCUCCUGCGGCCUCCUGCAUCCUGCUGCGGGCUCCUGUGUCCUGCUGCGUCCUGCUGCAGCCUCCUGUGGCCUCCUGCAUCCUGCUGUGGCCUCCUGCGGCCUCCUGCGUCCUGCUGUGGCCUCCUGCGGCCUCCUGCAUCCUGCUGUGGCCUCCUGCGUCCUGCUGUCGCUCCUGCUGUGGCCUCCUGCGGCCUCCUGCAUCCUGCUGCGGGCUCCUGCGUCCUGCUGCGGCCUCCUGCAUCCUCCUGCGUCCUGCUGUGGCCUCCUGCGGCCUCCUGCGGCCUCCUGCGUCCUGCUGCCGGCGGCCCGGGCACAGGCCUGGCUGACCGGGGGGCCGCGCGACGGAAGGACAAAGGAGGGCGGCGGAGGCGGCCCGAGAGUGGAGGCCGAGCGGCGGGCAGCAGAGCCGCGCACAGGCCCGGGGCCCCCGAGGAGUCGCACCCGACGGUGGGCAGAGGAGCCCAGCUCAGAAGGCCGCGGGGAGCCGAGGCGGGGCCGGCGGGCACAGGACGGCCGCCCCGCCACGGUCCGCGGGAAGCCGAGGAUCCCCAGGAUCUCGCGGCGACGCAAGCCCUUGGCGGCGGAUGGACUCCGCACGCGGCACCUCCCGGGACGCGGCGCCCACGGGCGGCUCCACCCCGCCCCCCCAGAGGGGCCCCGGGGGUGUGGAGGGUUAGUUGGUCGUGGGCGGGGAAGGGGGAGCGAGGGCAGAGCGGAGGGGACCCCGCGGCCCAGUGCAGGCGGCGGCAGGCGGCAGGGAAGGCCCGGGGCUCCACGGCGGCCGCGAGCGCCUGGUUAUUCAUCACCCCCAGAUCCCACUUUACAAACAGCCCCUGA